CUACGGGACGCAGCAGUGGGAAUAUUGCACAAUGGGCGCAAGCCUGAUGCAGCCAUGCCGCGUGUAUGAAGAAGGCCUUCGGGUUGUAAAGUACUUUCAGCGGGGAGGAAGGGAGUAAAGUUAAUACCUUUGCUCAUUGACGUUACCCGCAGAAGAAGCACCGGCUAACUCCGUGCCAGCAGCCGCGGUAAUACGGAGGGUGCAAGCGGUAAUCGGAAUUACUGGGCGUAAAGCGCACGCAGGCGGUUUGUUAAGUCAGAUGUGAAAUCCCCGGGCUCAACCUGGGAACUGCAUCUGAUACUGGCAAGCUUGAGUCUCGUAGAGGGGGGUAGAAUUCCAGGUGUAGCGGUGAAAUGCGUAGAGAUCUGGAGGAAUACCGGUGGCGAAGGCGGCCCCCUGGACGAAGACUGACGCUCAGGUGCGAAAGCGUGGGGAGCAAACAGGAUUAGAUACCCUAGUAGUC
This 463-nucleotide ribosomal RNA is filed under the name uncultured bacterium. RNAcentral describes it as "partial 16S ribosomal RNA". It matches the Rfam family "Bacterial small subunit ribosomal RNA", at positions 339 to 795 of the family's 1533-position model. The record is from RNAcentral.